GGCAGGCGUCACUUGCUGCAACCGAGGAAGUUGACCCCUGAAGGAUGCCAUAAACCUGUGCAAAACCUGCAGUUGCCCACGGAAUAACCUGUUACUCCUGGCCGUACCUGAGGACUUGGAGAGCCUCACACAUCUUGUGACAAGCUGGGGGCCCUUGAUCCCAGUAAGUUCGGCGAAGAAGUAUCUGAUGUCUUUCUCACCGUCGAAGCAGGCGCUGAAAUUUGAGUGAAAACACAGCCACCUGUCGUUAUCCGGAGACAACCACUUCUGCUCGAACACAUGACUGUCGAUGCCUCUCACUUCCGAGAGCCGCACACCCUGCAUCACGGUACACGCAUACAUGUAUUAUGCGUGUCUUGGUUAAGCUUCUAAACAUGAAACAAAAA
This is a long non-coding RNA of Sorghum bicolor (sorghum), 386 nucleotides long. RefSeq lists it as uncharacterized. Lineage: Eukaryota; Viridiplantae; Streptophyta; Magnoliopsida; Poales; Poaceae. The record is from RefSeq and is a predicted model, not a curated record. The transcript has 2 exons.